CGAUGAAACUUUAACAGAACCCUUCGGGGCGAAGAUAAAGUGGAUUAGCGGCGGACGGGUGAGUAACACGUGAGUAACCUGCCUUAGACAUUGGGAUAGCCUCGGGAAACCGGGAUUAAUACCAAAUAAAAUCAUAAUGACACAUGUCAUAACGAUCAAAACUCCGGUGGUCUAAGAUGGACUCGCGUCCCAUUAGCUAGUUGGUAGAGUAAAAGCCUACCAAGGCGACGAUGGGUAGCCGGCCUGAGAGGGUGAACGGCCACAUUGGAACUGAGAAACGGUCCAAACUCCUACGGGAGGCAGCAGUGGGGAAUAUUGCACAAUGGAGGGAACUCUGAUGCAGCGACGCCGCGUGAACGAAGAAGGCUUUCGAGUCGUAAAGUUCUUUUAUAUGGGAAGAUAAUGACGGUACCAUAAGAAAAAGCCCCGGCUAACUACGUGCCAGCAGCCGCGGUAAUACGUAGGGGGCUAGCGUUGUCCGGAAUCACUGGGCGUAAAGGGUUCGCAGGCGGAAAUGCAAGUCAGAUGUAAAAGGCAGUAGCUUAACUACUGUAAGCAUUUGAAACUGCAUAUCUUGAGAAGAGUAGAGGUGAGUGGAAUUUUUAGUGUAGCGGUGAAAUGCGUAGAUAUUAAAAAGAAUACCGGUGGCGAAGGCGACUUACUGGGCUCAUUCUGACGCUGAGGAACGAAGGCGUGGGUAGCAAACAGG
Molecule: ribosomal RNA, 709 nt
Filed under: uncultured Eubacteriales bacterium
Lineage: Bacteria; Bacillati; Bacillota; Clostridia; Eubacteriales
Description: bacterial SSU rRNA
Rfam family: Bacterial small subunit ribosomal RNA
Source: RNAcentral